Molecule: long non-coding RNA, 183 nt
Organism: Octopus sinensis (East Asian common octopus)
Lineage: Eukaryota; Metazoa; Mollusca; Cephalopoda; Octopoda; Octopodidae
Exons: 3
Source: RefSeq, a predicted model, not a curated record
AUAAUAAUAAUAAUAAUAAUAAUAGCAAUCAAUAUCACCAUGUUGCACACGUCAUUGUGAUGCAUGCACCUAGUGUAGCCUUAUCAGACGGGUAGUCAUAAUGGGUAUACUAAGCUUUGUAUAUUUUACCCCAGUGUCACUUUGAUGGCAUGCACUGCUCUCUCACUCAAUAAUAUUUAUAAU